This 492-nucleotide ribosomal RNA is filed under the name uncultured bacterium. Its description in RNAcentral is "partial 16S ribosomal RNA". It matches the Rfam family "Bacterial small subunit ribosomal RNA", at positions 29 to 507 of the family's 1533-position model. The record is from RNAcentral.
AGUGAACGCUGGCGGUAGGCCUAACACAUGCAAGUCGAACGGCAGCACAGUAAGAGCUUGCUCUUACGGGUGGCGAGUGGCGGACGGGUGAGGAAUACAUCGGAAUCUACUUUUUCGUGGGGGAUAACGUAGGGAAACUUGCGCUAAUACCGCAUACGACCUACGUGUGAAAGCAGGGGAUCUUCGGACCUUGCGCGAUUGAAUGAGCCGAUGUCGGAUUAGCUAGUUGGCGGGGUAAAGGCCCACCAAGGCGACGAUCCGUAGCUGGUCUGAGAGGAUGAUCAGCCACACUGGAACUGAGACACGGUCCAGACUCCUACGGGAGGCAGCAGUGGGGAAUAUUGGACAAUGGGCGCAAGCCUGAUCCAGCCAUACCGCGUGGGUGAAGAAGGCCUUCGGGUUGUAAAGCCCUUUUGUUGGGAAAGAAAAGCAGCAGGUUAAUACCCCGCUGUUCUGACGGUACCCAAAGAAUAAGCACCGGCUAACUUCGUG